Molecule: ribosomal RNA, 258 nt
Filed under: uncultured bacterium
Lineage: Bacteria
Description: partial 16S ribosomal RNA
Rfam family: Bacterial small subunit ribosomal RNA
Source: RNAcentral
CACGUAGGGGGCAAGCGUUGUCCGGAUUUAUUGGGCGUAAAGAGCUCGUAGGCUGUUCGAUAAGUCGGGUGGUGAAACCUCCAGGCUCAACCUGGAGACGCCACCCGAUACUGUCAUGACUAGAGUCCGGUAGGGGAGCGUGGAAUUCCUGGUGGUAGCGGUGAAAUGCGCAGAUAGUCAGGAGGAACACCAGCGGCGAAGGCGGCUGGCUGGACCUGACCUGACGCUGAGGCGCGAAGGCGUGGGGAGCGAAGCGGG